RNAcentral lists this ribosomal RNA (1579 nucleotides) under Sphaerodactylus elegans. RNAcentral's name for it is "16S rRNA". It matches the Rfam family "Bacterial large subunit ribosomal RNA", at positions 373 to 2925 of the family's 2925-position model. The record is from RNAcentral. Lineage: Eukaryota; Metazoa; Chordata; Lepidosauria; Squamata; Sphaerodactylidae.
GCCAAGACCAACGCCCACACCACCACACUAACAUGACAAAUACACAUUAAACCAAACCAUUUGCCACAUCAAGUAUACGCGAUAGAACCACACACCAUCGGCGCCAUAGUAGACAGUACCGCAAGGGACCAAUGAAAGACCAACUGAAACACCACCGCACAAAAUAGCAGAGACCCACACUCGUACCUCCUGCCUCAUGAUCUAUCAAGCACCACGCAGACAAAGUGCCCUGCAAAUCUGCCCACCCGAACCCGGACGAGCUAUCUUACAGCAACCACAUAGAGUGAACCCCCCCCUGUGGCAAAAGGGCGGGAAGACUGCAGGAUAGUGGUGAAACGCCAACCGUGCCCGGCGAUAGCUGGUUGCUCAUUAACCGAACCUAAGUUCACCUAUAGGAGCCCCCACACCAACCCACUAUGCCACUGUUUGACCCUAUAAGCUAUUCAAUGGGGGUACAGCCCCAUUGAACUUGGAAACAGCCAAUGACAGAGAACCAAGCAUCAACCACCAAAACACCUGUAGGCCCUUAAGCAGCCACCAAAAACUGCGUCACAGCACCAACCAAACACAAUCCCACAAUAAAAGCCCCCACCCUGCUACCAACUGAGCCAUCCUACCAGCACAGUAGGAGCAACACUGCUAGAACUAGUAAUAAGAGCCCACUCUCUCACCCGCACCCCCUUGAGCCAGAACUAGAUACCCUACUGGCACUUAACCCAGACCACACACGGCCAACAAAACCAACCACAUUAAACUACUUUUAACAACCACUGUCACCCCAACACAGGUGUGCUAGAAAGAUUGAUUAAACGUCACAAAAGGAACUCGGCUAACCCUGCCCCAACUGUUUACCAAAAACACCGCCUUUAGCAAACUACAAGUAUUAAAGGUCCCGCCUGCCCAGUGAGUAAAAACUUAAACGGCCGCGGUAUCCUAACCGUGCAAAGGUAGCGCAACCACUUGUCCUCUAAAUAGGGACCUGUAUGAAUGGCUAAAUGAGGGCCAAACUGUCUCCUACGACCAAUCAAUGAACCUGAUCUUCUAGUACAAAAGCUAGAAUACACCCAUAAGACGAGAAGACCCUGUGGAGCUUAAAAUAUUAAUACUACCAACCCCACCACCCAAACAGGCCCACACCACCAAAAUAGUAAACAUUUUUAGUUGGGGCGACUACGGAACAAAACCUAACUUCCACGACACGGACACUCCAUCCAAUAAAGGUCAACAAACCAACAUACCACUUGACCCAGUAACACUGAUCAACGGACCAAGUUACCCCAGGGAUAACAGCGCCAUCCUCUUCAAGAGCCCAUAUCGCCAAGAGGGUUUACGACCUCGAUGUUGGAUCAGGACUUCCAGGUGGUGCAACCGCUACCAACGGUUCGUUUGUUCAACGAUUAACAGUCCUACGUGAUCUGAGUUCAGACCGGAGCAAUCCAGGUCGGUUUCUAUCUAUGUUAAACUUUCCUCAGUACGAAAGGACCAAGAAAGCAGCAUCACCAGUAAAACCACAUGCUGACAAACCAAAGCUGAAGUAAACUUAAGCACUACAGCCAAAGUCAGCCCAAGACAAGGGCUU